Molecule: long non-coding RNA, 1406 nt
Organism: Dreissena polymorpha
Lineage: Eukaryota; Metazoa; Mollusca; Bivalvia; Myida; Dreissenidae
Exons: 5
Source: RefSeq, a predicted model, not a curated record
CAACAUAAUGCCACCAUCAUCAAAGAAAGCGACGUGCAGCUAUUUGAUAAUGAAAGAGGCAUACACUGAUAUUAUAACAAAAGGAAUUGCUAUCAGACAAUCAGCAAUAAAUCAUGGCCUUCCAGAAGCAACCUUGCGAUGGAGAUUGGCAAAUUGAAAAGAUGUUCACCGUGGACGUCAUACAAUGUUUACUAGAGUACAGGAAGAAAUUCUGUCCCAGCAUUGUGUUUUCAUGGUUCACAUUGGAUAUGUUUUUUCAAGAUGGUAGAUCUUAGAUAUGGCUAAGAACAUGGGGGCGAUUUUGUUUGUGCAUUGCAAAUGAACCUACAAAACACUGGUUUUAUGGUUUUCUGAAGCGAUUUCCAGAUGUCAAGAUGGUACCCCAUAAAAGCGUGAAAAGGAACGAGAUGCUGCUGUAACCAAAGAAAUGCUCAAAAAGUACUUUACGGAGCUUGAGCUCACUUUAGAUAAACAUGACAUCAAGAACAAACACAUGGAAUGUUGAUGAGGCCGGUGUUUUACUUGAUCACAACCCACCAAAAAUAUUAGCUAAUGUUGGCAGUAACCCCCACUGUAUUUCAUCAGGGAAUUCAGCCACAACCACCAUCGUUGCUGCACUUGCGGCAUAAUGGCAGUUUGCGAGUAUCGUGAAAGAAUGGACUUCGCACAGUUGACGAAUGACGAACUUUAUAAGAGAUACUGUAUCAACCAUGCCACUUUGGCACAUAUUAUUGCCCAGCUUGAUGCUGCCUUAGCACCCAAUACUGAUAGGAGCUACAGCCUAUCUACUGGCUACAAAGUAAGGUGAUCUUCACUCCGUAGCUCAAUCCAGUGUUUCGAGAGCAGUCACUCAAACACUUGAUGCGCUGAGCUCCCCAAAUGUUGUUAGUAGACACAUUAUAUUCCAAACAACCAUCGAGUAAUUGAACAACAAAAAACAAGGAUUUUUUCACAUUGCUAGAUUCCCAAACGUGAUCGGCGUCAUAGAUGGGACUCACGUACAGAUUCAGGCACCAUCUAUUUAUUAACCGACGUACGUUAACAGAAUGGUUUACCAUUACAUCAACACACAGCUGCUUGUGUCGAGUGCGAUACGUAUAGUCAUUUACUGCCUUAUUAACACCCACCUGCAUCGGAUGGAUGUUAUUUUGCAGUGUCCGUCACACUUUUCAGAGCUGUUUCACGAUUGUGUUUGAUCAUAAUGAUAUGAUCAUGGACAUUGUCGCUAGAUGGCCAGAAAGUACCCAUGAUUGAAGAAUCCUUCCAGGAAGUGGGUUGUGGCAAGUGUUCGAAAGAAACCUGCUUAAACAGAAUGACCACUUUCUUUUGGGUGAUAGUGGGUAUCCGUGCAAACGAUGGCUGAUGACGCCUUAUGUAAGACCUGCUAAUAACGCUCAGGAAACGUA